Long non-coding RNA from Pseudophryne corroboree (corroboree frog), 2712 nucleotides. RefSeq lists it as uncharacterized. NCBI's taxonomy places the organism in Eukaryota, Metazoa, Chordata, Amphibia, Anura, Myobatrachidae. The record is from RefSeq and is a predicted model, not a curated record. The transcript has 4 exons.
AGUGUAAGAAAACUACACUUCCCAUCAAACCAUUCGGGAUCGGCCUGGGAACGAAUGAGAAGCCGGGAGAGGGCCAUGGCUCUGCCCAAUUAGCGAGCGAAGGGGAGUGGCCAGGCGUUGACGGUGAGAUCAGUGGGCGGGGCUAAGCGACUGUGGAUGACGGCAACCAUGACGGCACGGCUCGGUUGUCUAAACAGUCACAAAGACCUUCUGGCCAUGCCUCCACUGAAGCAGGGGAUGCUGCUGAUGCUGGACCAUCCACAAACGAAUUGCCCCCGUGGAAGCGCAGUCUGAAUGUGUCUUCCAGACCACCACUACAGCCAUCACCACGACGACGCAUACCCAGGUCUCAGCCAUGCCCCCACAGCAACUGCUGGACAGUCCGCCAACCAUGUCACUGCAUUCCCCACAGCUGCCUGUGGACACAAAUCUUCAGGCAAGUCAUUCCGGGCAACUGCAGGAAACAGACAAUGAGGAAACAUUUACCCUCAAUCUCACUGCUGUACCACCGCCAGACCCAACAUCCACACAGUUUGCAACUCUGCCCACUCACCAGACGCUUGAGCAGGAGAGAAGCCCUACCACACCUACAGUAUAGCACAGUCUCAAGACCAGGUAUUUUGGGACAGCUGGUCCACCCAGGAAGCAAAUAAUUUAGAUUGUUUGCGUAGGCAAACACAAUAUAUUUCCAGUCUUGCCCAUCAUGUUCCACGCCUCUGCAGAAGCAACAGCAGACAAACAAAUGAACUCACCCAAAUGGCAAACACCAAUGAGUCAUGGAUGACAAUCACAGGCUCCAUCAAACCUACUUGCAGAUUCCGAGUUGAUCGCUAGCUGCCAUUGUUCGCAGUGCAGCGACCAGGCAAAAAAUCGUCACUUCUGCGCAUGCGUAUGCGGCUCAAUGCGCACGUGCGACGUACUUUCACAAAAGCCGAUGCCGUUUUACACGAGCACUAGCAACGCUUUUCAGUCACACUCUGGCCGCAGAGUGAUUGACAGGAAGUGGGUGUUUCUGGGUGGUAACUGACCGUUUUCGGGGAGUGUGUGUAAAAACGCAGGCAUGUCAGAUACAAAUGCAGGCGUGCCUGGGGAAACACGGGCGUGGCUGGCCAAACGCAGGGCGUGUUUGUGACAUCAAAACAGGAACUAAAUAGUCUGCACUGAUCGCAAGCUAGGAGUAGGUCUGGAGCUACUCUGAAACUACACAAAAUUAUUUUGUAGCCGUUCUGUGAUCCUUUCGUUCGCACUUCGGCUAAGCUAAGAUACACUCCCAGAGGGCGGCGGCUUAGCGUUUGCAUGGCUGCUAAAAGCAGCUAGAGAGUGAACUCGGAAUGAGGGCCAUUGACUGCAACACAAACCACAUAAGACACCAUGGUCAGAAUCAUGGAGAGCCACACGUCUGCAACUAGAGACUAAAAUGUGACUCUGACUACACUUACCCAGCAUCUCACUCAUCAAGGUGAGCACACAAGUUCCAGUUCCUCUACCACAACCCCCUUAGUGACACCUGUAAUGUCCCCUCCCAGACGUUCUGGCCGAACUCAUCCAGACACCAGCGGUAAAGGCCCAUCCACCUCAAGAGGUCAACCUGCAAAAUAAAUUAACAUCAUCAUGUGUUUACAUUUUUCAAUUAAAAUGUGAUGCUAGUUGCAUUUUUGAUUCUGCACUGUCAAAGUCAAAAAUAUUACAUAGAGAGACCAUAUAAACUGCACACAUAUAAGCCGCUAUACUUGCAAAUAUGCGCAGCGAGCACAGCAAACACCAGACAUAAUGGAGAUUUAGAAUUGGCUGAUGAAUUAAUGUCAUGGAUGUGUAUCAUUCGAACCGAACCAGAUAAACACAUCAUGUUUGGUAUUGAAGCAAGCAGAAUGAGGUGUGGGUUAGUUUGAGGCCUGUUGUGUUGUUGUGGGACAUUGCAGCAGAUAGAUAUGAUUAUAUGUAUAAAAGCUAAGAUCAUAUUGUUAGAACAAUGGAUGCUCAAGACAACCUUUUACUAAGUUUUCAGGGCUGAACCUGAUUAGCAUAUACAAAGGAGAAAGAAAGACCCCUCCCCCAGGUACUGGUCAAACAGGAAGGUAGUGGUCAGGUGUGGCCUCAGAGAACAGAUGUAAUGUAGCUACACUCACAGACACACACACAGCUACCUGGCACCAAGCAGCAUGGCAGCUAAAUCCCCAGGACAUCUUCCAAACUAAAGGCUAAGUAUUGAACUUCACAUGGCUAGAUAAGGAAACAGACAGAUUGCUUUCUGGUUUAAAUAGGAUAUUGUAACUUGGUUGUGUGAUUGUUGGGUGUUUGUGGAUACUCUGUGAAGUCUGUGAUGAUUGGAACAGUAUACAAUCUGUAGCAUAGUAUUUGUGGUAUUUGUUUGCCUAUGGAGAUUUAAAAUAGAUUGUGCUGGUUAGUUAUACUAUAUAUCCUGUUAAUCAUAAAUACCACCAUGCAGUUACGUUUGUGUUAAUUACAUUGUGAUCUGGUCUUGUGAUGAAUAUGCUCUGGUUAUUGAGAUACUGAAGUUGUUUGGGAUGUGGAAUUAUGAGAUGGUUCUAGGAAGUUGGAUUACAUUGUGAAAGGUGAUUUAGAUGGUUUGGAAUUGUAAAAUCAGAACAUAUGCAUUGUUUUGAGGCUUGGACAUUUUGGAAUAAAGUGCCAUGUGUUUGGACCUGCAAAUCUAAAAUGGCUGCUGCUGGAUGUCUUCCCCUCCCCCUUUCA